This 74-nucleotide transfer RNA is filed under the name Cordylochernes scorpioides. Its description in RNAcentral is "tRNA-Thr". The record is from RNAcentral. Lineage: Eukaryota; Metazoa; Arthropoda; Arachnida; Pseudoscorpiones; Chernetidae.
UGCCAAGGGAUGGGAAUCGAACCCACGACCUUCCGCUUACCGGGCAGAUGCCAUGACCACUAGGCUACCCUGGA